GACGAACGCUGGCGGCGCGCCUAACACAUGCAAGUCGAACGGGAUGCCCUGAACGGAGGCUUCGGCCAAAGGGAAGGAACAUCUAGUGGCGGACGGGUGAGUAACGCGUGAGUAACCUGCCCUUCUGAGGGGGAUAACGUCUGGAAACGGACGCUAAUACCGCAUAACAUAGAGAUACCGCAUGGUAUUUCUAUCAAAGGAGCAAUCCGCAGAGGGAUGGACUCGCGUCCAAUUAGCUAGUUGGUGGGGUAACGGCCCACCAAGGCGACGAUUGGUAGCCGGACUGAGAGGUUGAACGGCCACAUUGGGACUGAGACACGGCCCAGACUCCUACGGGAGGCAGCAGUGGGGAAUAUUGGGCAAUGGGGGAAACCCUGACCCAGCGACGCCGCGUGAGGGAAGAAGGUUUUCGGAUUGUAAACCUCUGUCCUCGGUGAAGAUAAUGACGGUAGCCGAGGAGGAAGCCACGGCUAACUACGUGCCAGCAGCCGCCGUAACAC
This 500-nucleotide ribosomal RNA is filed under the name uncultured bacterium. RNAcentral's name for it is "bacterial SSU rRNA". It matches the Rfam family "Bacterial small subunit ribosomal RNA", at positions 28 to 526 of the family's 1533-position model. The record is from RNAcentral.